RNAcentral lists this ribosomal RNA (107 nucleotides) under uncultured bacterium. RNAcentral describes it as "partial 16S ribosomal RNA". It matches the Rfam family "Bacterial small subunit ribosomal RNA", at positions 387 to 508 of the family's 1533-position model. The record is from RNAcentral.
CGGAGCGACACCGCGUGUGGGAUGAAGUCUUUCGGGAUGUAAACCACUGUCGGAGGGGAAGACAAAAAAGACGGUACCCUCCAAGAAAGCCCCGGCUAACUACGUGC